This 495-nucleotide ribosomal RNA is filed under the name uncultured bacterium. RNAcentral describes it as "partial 16S ribosomal RNA". It matches the Rfam family "Bacterial small subunit ribosomal RNA", at positions 28 to 507 of the family's 1533-position model. The record is from RNAcentral.
GACGAACGCUGGCGGCGUGCCUAAUACAUGCAAGUAGAACGCUGAAGGAGGAGCUUGCUUCUCUGGAUGAGUUGCGAACGGGUGAGUAACGCGUAGGUAACCUGCCUGGUAGCGGGGGAUAACUAUUGGAAACGAUAGCUAAUACCGCAUAAUAGUAGAUGUUGCAUGACAUUUGCUUAAAAGGUGCAAUUGCAUCACUACCAGAUGGACCUGCGUUGUAUUAGCUAGUUGGUGGGGUAACGGCUCACCAAGGCGACGAUACAUAGCCGACCUGAGAGGGUGAUCGGCCACACUGGGACUGAGACACGGCCCAGACUCCUACGGGAGGCAGCAGUAGGGAAUCUUCGGCAAUGGACGGAAGUCUGACCGAGCAACGCCGCGUGAGUGAAGAAGGUUGUCGGAUCGUAAAGCUCUGUUGUAAGAGAAGAGCGAGUGUGAGAGUGGAAAGUUCACACUGUGACGGUAGCUGACCAGAAAGGGACGGCUAACUACGUG